CGAAGAAUGUGGUAUGCGCUCAAGCGCACAGGAGUGGGUGGGCAUGCUCAGGCUAUGCUUCACUUCGUGACUCCUUCAGGUAAUGAGACCAGUGCUUGGCUAUUUCUGGGAUUAGGGAAAACAAAAUACACCCCCAAACUGGAGUACCAGCAGGUCAGACUGGACCCAAGAGAAGCACCCCUUUGGCAGUGGAGGUGGUAUUGAAAUGGUGGGUGUGACCUCACACUGAGAAUAAUGUCCCGGGGAGAUUGGUGCAGAAAGAAACGUCAAGCAGCCUAGGUGAGGUUUUAAAAAUGCAGUUAGUCAACCCCAAAUUGAUCUGUGUAGACAUGUGUUUUUUCUCAAUUAUAGGACUUCUUAGCUUAAAGUGGGCUCACUAUCUAGCUGUCUGAAUGUUCCAACACACAGAGAACCCAACAGGAAGUGAAAGAAAGAAAAGAAAAAGAAAGGAAGGAAGGAAAGAAAGGGAAGAAAGAAAGGAAAAGAAAAGAAAAGAAAAAGAAAAGAGAAGGUCCCACAGGAGCAGCCUAAAGGGCCUGUCCUGGCACUCACGUUUCUUCUGGGAGAAUCUCCACACCCCCACUCCCACUGUGGUCCCUGCCUUUCUGGGUUCAUUGAACUCUUGGAGCAGAAGUUCAUUCCUGCUGUGUGCCCAGGCCCCCAGACCUACCCCAUCAGAACCUCUAUGGUGGCCUCCUGGCCUCGGCAUUUGUGUCAAACCAUCUCGGUGAUUCUAUGCAGCUACACUUGAGAAGCCUUGACCGGAGCUUCCCGAGACCGCAUCUGUGUCCUGCUCCCAGCUAGUAUGUCACUGUACCACACCUGAUGUAGCAAGACUUUUACAUAGAAUUAUUGUUUACUUCAGGGGCACCUGGCGUGUGGAGCGUGUGACUCUUGAUCUCAGCGUUGUGAGUUUGGGCCCUAUGGUGGGUGUAGAGAUCACUUAAAAUCUGAGGGGCACCUGGGUGGCUCAGUUAAGCACCUGAUUCUUUUUUUUUUUUUUUUUUUAAGCAUCUGAUUCUUGACUUUGGCUUGAGUCAUGAUCUCAGGGUCCUAAGAUCAAGCCCUGUGCUGGACUCUGUGCUGGGUGUGGAGCCUGCUUAAGAUUCUCUCUCUCUUUCUCCCUCUGCCUCUCUCUGCUUGCACUAAAUAAAUAAACAAAUAAAUAAAUAAAUAAUCUGGAAAAAACCAACAACAUUGAAUUAUUACUUUUUUUCCUGUAACUCUUUUUUGCAUGGAGACUUUUUCUAGUUGGCAUACGUGAAGGACCUUUAUUUUUUUCAUUUUUAUUUUUUUAAAGAUUUUAUUUAUUCAUGAGAGACAGAGAGAGAGAGGCAGAGACACAGGCAGAGGGAGAAGCAGGCUCCAUGCAGGGAACCUGACAUGGGACUCGAUCCCAGGUCUCUAGGAUCACACCCUGAGCUGCAGGCGGCGCUAAACUGCUGCACCACCAGGGCUGCCCAGGACCUUUAUUUUUUAAUGACUAUGUAGUAUGAAUAUAGCACAAUUUACCUCCCCCUUCCACCUACAGAUGGAUUUCUCUAUCAUUUCCUGCUCUCCCCUGUUCUAAAUUACCACAGUGAAUAUCGUCAUACAUAUAUCUGUGCAUGUGUAAGCAUUUCUGUAAGACGAGUUUCCAGAAGGAAAUUCUGGGUCCUACAAUAUACACUUCUUUGUUUUAAGAUUUAUUUAUUUGAGAGAAAGAGAGAGAGAGUGAUCAUGACUCAGGGGCAGGAAGGUAGAGGGAGAAGCAGACUCCUAGCUGCAGGGAGCCCCAUGCAGGACUCCUGAGACCAUGACCUUAGCCAAAGGCAGAUGCUCAAUUGACUGGGCCCCCCAGGCUCCCAAGAACCUACACCUUCUAAAGCACUGCUAGAGGGGCACCUGGGGAGCUCAGUUGGUUGAGCGUCUCCCUUAAAAAAAAAAAAAGAUUUUAUUUAUUCAAGAGACAGAGAGAGAGGCAGAGACACAGGCAGAGGGAGAAGCAGGAUCCAUGCAGGGAGCCCGAUGUGGGGCUUGAUCCCAGGACCCUGGGAUCACACCCUGAGCCAAAGGCAGACGCUCAACCACUGAGCCACCCAGGUGCCCUGAGCACCUGACUCUUGAUUUUGGGUCAGAUCAUGGUCUCGUAGUCAUGACGUCAGCCCUGCUUUGGGCUCUGAGUUCAGGUUGGAGUCUGCAGGAGAUUCUUUCUCCCUCACCCUCUGACCCUUCCCCCCACUCAUGCUCUCUACCUCUUUCUCAAAUAAAUAAGAUCUUUAAAAUAACUUCAAGGGAUCCCUGGGUGGCGCAGCGGUUUAGCGCCUGCCUUUGCCCCAGGGCGCGAUCCUGGAGACCCGGGAUCGAAUCCCACGUCGGGCUCCCGGUGCAUGGACCUGCUGCUCCCUCUGCCUGUGUCUCUGCCUCUCUCUAUCUCUCUCUGUGACUAUCAUAAAUAAAUAAAAAUUAAAAAAAAAUUAAAAAAAUAAAAUAAAAUAACUUCAAAAGAAAGUAAAAAUUAAAGUGGCAAUGAUAUAUAUAUACAUGUAUGUUAUAUGUUACACUAUGUAUGUUACAUGUAACAUGCAUAUGUGCAUAUACAUUUGCACACCACAUUAACAACCAAACAGAAAUACUCCUGGGAAGCCUGGCUGGGUCAGUUGGUGGAGCGUGCAACUCUUGAUCUUGGGGUUGUGAGUUCGAGCCCCACAUUGGGUGUAGAGAUUAUUUAAAAA
This 2714-nucleotide long non-coding RNA is filed under the name Canis lupus familiaris (dog). RNAcentral describes it as "lncRNA (ENSCAFG00000053617.1)". The record is from RNAcentral. Lineage: Eukaryota; Metazoa; Chordata; Mammalia; Carnivora; Canidae.